GACGAACGCUGGCGGCGUGCCUAAUACAUGCAAGUUGAGCGAUGAAGCUUGGUGCUUGCCCCAAUUUGAAGAGCAGCGAACGGGUGAGUAACGCGUGGGGAAUCUGCCUUUGAGCGGGGGACAACAUUUGGAAACGAAUGCUAAUACCGCAUAACAACUUUAAACAUAAGUUUUAAGUUUGAAAGAUGCAAUUGCAUCACUCAAAGAUGAUCCCGCGUUGUAUUAGCUAGUUGGUGAGGUAAAGGCUCACCAAGGCGAUGAUACAUAGCCGACCUGAGAGGGUGGUCGGCCAAAUUGGGACUGAGACAAGGCCCAAACUCCUACGGGAGGCAGCAGGAGGGAAACUUCGGCAAUGGACGAAAGUCUGACCGAGCAACGCCGCGUGAGUGAAGAAGGUUUUCGGAUCGUAAAACUCUGUUGGUAGAGAAGAACGUUGGUGAGAGUGGAAAGCUCAUCAAGUGACGGUAACUACCCAGAAAGGGACGGCUAACUACGUG
RNAcentral lists this ribosomal RNA (497 nucleotides) under uncultured bacterium. RNAcentral's name for it is "partial 16S ribosomal RNA". It matches the Rfam family "Bacterial small subunit ribosomal RNA", at positions 28 to 507 of the family's 1533-position model. The record is from RNAcentral.